AGCCCCUUUAGUGCAAUGGUUAGCAUACAUUUUUCCGGUGGAUGUGAUCCGGGUUCGAGUCCCGGGAGGGGCUU
This 74-nucleotide transfer RNA is filed under the name Kluyveromyces marxianus DMKU3-1042. RNAcentral describes it as "tRNA-Arg (GGC)". It matches the Rfam family "tRNA". From Rfam's summary of the family: Transfer RNA (tRNA) molecules are approximately 80 nucleotides in length. Their secondary structure includes four short double-helical elements and three loops (D, anti-codon, and T loops). Further hydrogen bonds mediate the characteristic L-shaped molecular structure. tRNAs have two regions of fundamental functional importance: the anti-codon, which is responsible for specific mRNA codon recognition, and the 3' end, to which the tRNAs corresponding amino acid is attached (by aminoacyl-tRNA synthetases). tRNAs cope with the degeneracy of the genetic code in two manners: having more than one tRNA (with a specific anti-codon) for a particular amino acid; and 'wobble' base-pairing, i.e. permitting non-standard base-pairing at the 3rd anti-codon position. The record is from RNAcentral. Lineage: Eukaryota; Fungi; Ascomycota; Saccharomycetes; Saccharomycetales; Saccharomycetaceae.